UACGGGGGGGGCAAGCGUUGUUCGGAAUUACUGGGCGUAAAGGGCUCGUAGGUGGCCAACUAAGUCAGACGUGAAAUCCCUCGGCUUAACCGGGGAACUGCGUCUGAUACUGGAUGGCUUGAGUUUGGGAGAGGGACGCGGAAUUCCAGGUGUAGCGGUGAAAUGCGUAGAUAUCUGGAGGAGCACCGGUGGCGAAGGCGGCGUCCUGGACCAACACUGACACUGAGGAGCGAAAGCCAGGGGAGCAAACGGG
RNAcentral lists this ribosomal RNA (253 nucleotides) under uncultured bacterium. RNAcentral describes it as "partial 16S ribosomal RNA". It matches the Rfam family "Bacterial small subunit ribosomal RNA", at positions 524 to 776 of the family's 1533-position model. The record is from RNAcentral.